UAUUAAAAAUUUUAUUCGUUUGUACUAUUAAAAAUUAAUAUAGAUGACAGAAUAAUCAAGCAAUAAAACAUGACAUGCCACAUAUGUUUUAUGUUAACGUACAAUAGCCCGAUUUUAAUAAUAAAAACGGAUAAAAUUUUUAAUA
Non-coding RNA from Gossypium hirsutum (cotton), 145 nucleotides. NCBI's taxonomy places the organism in Eukaryota, Viridiplantae, Streptophyta, Magnoliopsida, Malvales, Malvaceae. The record is from Rfam.